This 254-nucleotide ribosomal RNA is filed under the name uncultured bacterium. RNAcentral describes it as "partial 16S ribosomal RNA". It matches the Rfam family "Bacterial small subunit ribosomal RNA", at positions 524 to 776 of the family's 1533-position model. The record is from RNAcentral.
UACGGGGGGAGCAAGCGUUGUUCGGAUUUACUGGGCGUAAAGGGCGCGUAGGCGGUCAGCACAAGUCAGUUGUGAAAUCUCCGGGCUUAACUCGGAAAGGUCAACUGAUACUGUGCGACUAGAGUGCGGAAGGGGCAACUGGAAUUCUCGGUGUAGCGGUGAAAUGCGUAGAUAUCUGGAGGAACACCGGUGGCGAAGGCGGCAUCCUGGACCAUUACUGACACUGAAAAGCGAAAGCCAGGGGAGCAAACGGG